Molecule: microRNA precursor, 109 nt
Filed under: Sorghum bicolor (sorghum)
Lineage: Eukaryota; Viridiplantae; Streptophyta; Magnoliopsida; Poales; Poaceae
Description: MIR5565 microRNA precursor family
Rfam family: MIR5565 microRNA precursor family
Source: Rfam by way of RNAcentral
GUAGUCGUAUUCACAUUAAUCUACAUGUGUUGAGGUGGAUUGGAGUGGAACUUGAACUAAAUUCCACCCCAAUCCACACCAACACACAUGGAUUGAAGUGAAUACGACA